CCUACGGGAGGCAGCAGUGGGGAAUAUUGGUCAAUGGGCGGAACCCUGAUGCAGCGAAGCAGCGUGAGUGAAGACGUCUCUCGGUAUGUAAAGCUUUAUUAGUAGGGAAGUAGAUGACGGUACCUGUGUAAGAAGCUCCGGCUCACUACGUGCCAGCAGCCGCGGUUAUACGCAGGGAGCAAGCGUUAUCCGGAUUUACUGGGUGUAAAGGGAGCGUAGUGGGGAGGGCAAGUCUGUAGUGAAAGUCUGGGGCCCAACCGCGGAACUGGUGUGGAAACUGGCAUGCUGGAGUGCUGGAGAGGUAAGCGGAAUUCGUGGUGUAGCGGUGAAAUGCGUAGAUAUUAGGAAGAACUCCGAUUGCGAAGGCAGCUUACUGGACUGCAACUGACAUUGAGGCUCGAAAGCGUGGGUAUCAAACAGGAUUAGAUACCCGUGUAGUC
Molecule: ribosomal RNA, 440 nt
Filed under: uncultured bacterium
Lineage: Bacteria
Description: partial 16S ribosomal RNA
Rfam family: Bacterial small subunit ribosomal RNA
Source: RNAcentral